GGGAGUCACACAGACCUGUUUGGUCUUUUUAAGUAGUUCUUUGAACGACACAGCUAUGCUGCCGUUUAGCCUUGUAUGAAUAAUUAGUGUUUUUCCGCUUCGGGGGUAGGCACAGAGUCACAAUGGUGGAACCGUUAGAUGUUGACUGUUCAUGGGGGUUCUUUUUAGAACUUUUUUCCCAUGUUGACGAUGACUUGGUAAUAUCUUGUUUACCUGUUCUGAAAGGAAAAUAGUAAUCUAAGGCAUAAGUAAUUUAUUCAAGCUUACUUGCAUAAUUGGAGGCGUCCGGAUGCUGACUUAUUCGUCAACGCUAUUAUAGUUG
This 322-nucleotide long non-coding RNA is filed under the name Vigna radiata. RNAcentral describes it as "long non-coding RNA (VRAD_LNC007108)". Lineage: Eukaryota; Viridiplantae; Streptophyta; Magnoliopsida; Fabales; Fabaceae. The record is from RNAcentral.